GAUGAAGAACGCAGCGAAAUGCGAUAAGUAAUGCGAAUUGCAGAAUUUCCGUGAGUCAUCGAAUCUUUGAACGCACAUUGCGCCCCUUGGUAUUCCGAGGGGCAUGCCUAUUCGAGCGUCAUUAUCACCCCUCAAGCCUAGCUUGGUGUUGAGACCUGCUGUCAAGGCAGUCUCUAAAAUCAGUGGCAGUGCUGUCAGGCUCUAAGCGUAGUAAAUUCGUCGCUAUAGGGUCCUGGUGGAUACUCGUCAAAACCCCCCCAUUUUUUAAUGAUUGACCUCGGAUUAGGUAGGGAUACCCGCUGAACUUAAGCAUAUCAAUAAGCGGAGGA
RNAcentral lists this unclassified non-coding RNA (329 nucleotides) under soil metagenome. Its description in RNAcentral is "partial contains 5.8S ribosomal RNA, internal transcribed spacer 2, and large subunit ribosomal RNA". The stretch from base 1 to 121 matches the Rfam family "5.8S ribosomal RNA", at positions 35 to 154 of the family's 154-position model. The record is from RNAcentral.